This 325-nucleotide ribosomal RNA is filed under the name Aphyosemion herzogi (Herzog's killi). Its description in RNAcentral is "partial 12S ribosomal RNA". It matches the Rfam family "Bacterial small subunit ribosomal RNA", at positions 868 to 1360 of the family's 1533-position model. Lineage: Eukaryota; Metazoa; Chordata; Actinopteri; Cyprinodontiformes; Nothobranchiidae. The record is from RNAcentral.
UUCGCCAGGGAACUACGAGCAUAAGCUUAAAACCCAAAGGACUUGGCGGUGCUUUAGACCCACCUAGAGGAGCCUGUUCUAUAACCGAUAAUCCCCGUUAAACCUCACCUUCUUUUGUUAUUUCCGCCUAUAUACCGCCGUCGUCAGCUUACCCUGCAAAGGUUCUUCAGUAAGCAAAAUUGAUAUUAUCCAAAACGCCAGGUCGAGGUGUAGCAUAUGAGAAGGAAAGAAAUGGGCUACAUUUUCUAAUUUAGAAAAUACGGAAAUUGCCAUGAAACAGCAUAUUGAAGGAGGAUUUAGCAGUAAGCAGAGAAUAGAGAGCUCU